AGAACGAACGCUGGCGGCAUGCCUAACACAUGCAAGUCGAACGUGAUCCGGGGCUUGCUCCGGUGAAAGUGGCGGACGGGUGAGUAACGCGUGGGAACCUGCCCAGUGGUCGGGGAUAACUGCGGGAAACUGCAGCUAAUACCCGGUAAGCCCUACGGGGGAAAGAUUUAUCGCCAUUGGAGGGGCCCGCGUCGGAUUAGGUAGUUGGUGGGGUAAAGGCCUACCAAGCCUUCGAUCCGUAGCUGGUCUGAGAGGAUGAUCAGCCACACUGGGACUGAGAUACGGCCCAGACUCCUACGGGAGGCAGCAGUGGGGAAUAUUGGACAAUGGGCGCAAGCCUGAUCCAGCAAUGCCGCGUGAGUGAAGAAGGCCUUAGGGUUGUAAAGCUCUUUCGGCGGGACGAUAAUGACGGUACCCGCAGAAGAAGCCCCGGCUAACUCCGCGCCAGCAGCCGC
RNAcentral lists this ribosomal RNA (455 nucleotides) under uncultured bacterium. RNAcentral's name for it is "SSU rRNA". It matches the Rfam family "Bacterial small subunit ribosomal RNA", at positions 26 to 518 of the family's 1533-position model. The record is from RNAcentral.